RNAcentral lists this ribosomal RNA (496 nucleotides) under uncultured bacterium. RNAcentral's name for it is "partial 16S ribosomal RNA". It matches the Rfam family "Bacterial small subunit ribosomal RNA", at positions 29 to 507 of the family's 1533-position model. The record is from RNAcentral.
AUGAACGCUGGCGGCGUGCCUAAUACAUGCAGGUCGAGCGAACAGACGAGGAGCUUGCUCCUCUGACGUUAGCGGCGGACGGGUGAGUAACACGUGGAUAACCUACCUAUAAGACUGGGAUAACUUCGGGAAACCGGAGCUAAUACCGGAUAAUAUAUUGAACCGCAUGGUUCAAUAGUGAAAGACGGUUUUGCUGUCACUUAUAGAUGGAUCCGCGCCGCAUUAGCUAGUUGGUAAGGUAACGGCUUACCAAGGCGACGAUGCGUAGCCGACCUGAGAGGGUGAUCGGCCACACUGGAACUGAGACACGGUCCAGACUCCUACGGGAGGCAGCAGUAGGGAAUCUUCCGCAAUGGGCGAAAGCCUGACGGAGCAACGCCGCGUGAGUGAUGAAGGUCUUCGGAUCGUAAAACUCUGUUAUUAGGGAAGAACAAAUGUGUAAGUAACUAUGCGCGUCUUGACGGUACCUAAUCAGAAAGCCACGGCUAACUACGUG